GUUAAAACCAAAUAUGAGAAGUACACAAAAUGUUGAUUAAAGUAAAAAACAAUAAGAUUCAACUCUGAUUUUAUCUAAAG
This is a small nucleolar RNA of Mastomys coucha (southern multimammate mouse), 80 nucleotides long. RefSeq annotates it as small nucleolar RNA SNORD19B. NCBI's taxonomy places the organism in Eukaryota, Metazoa, Chordata, Mammalia, Rodentia, Muridae. The record is from RefSeq and is a predicted model, not a curated record. The transcript has a single exon.